This 271-nucleotide unclassified non-coding RNA is filed under the name Hevea brasiliensis (rubber tree). The record is from RNAcentral. Lineage: Eukaryota; Viridiplantae; Streptophyta; Magnoliopsida; Malpighiales; Euphorbiaceae.
AGGUCCAUCAUGAGGAUGUGUAUACUCCUUAAAAGGCAAACAAUAUGUAAAUUCAGCAUCAUGUCGUGGCAAACGUUUAUCAAACAUAGUAGAUGAAGGCCAGUCUUUCAAUUUCAAUAUCUGAGGCCAAUUUUUUGCAUCAAAUCGACCAUGCAAGUAUCCCAUAAAGAAUUGAUGAACAUUAAUAUCUACCUCACACCAGUCCAAACAGUCAAUGGCCUUCACAUCCAAAAGUGUAUCAUGUUUUUCAUUUCUUAUCUGGCGGAAGGCA